GUUUACUGUUCUAAUGAUUAUGAUUAAUAGUUUUCAUUCAGAAGUAUUUUUGUAAUAAAGUAUAUACCAAAGCAAAAACGAAAAUCCCAAGAAUUCCAACGAAGAAACUGGAUCUGAUUGACAUAUAUGAUCUUUAUAUUCUAUCUGUUCCCAUGGAAUAUGAAAAGAAGUGUUUCAUUGGCAGUCAGCUAAUCUUCAGGAACAUGCAUAACACAAAUUUGAUAAAAUAACGUAAAUGGUAAUGAAAAUGAAUAUAUAGUUUCAAUAAAAUAAAAUUGCACG
Molecule: long non-coding RNA, 282 nt
Filed under: Mytilus galloprovincialis (Mediterranean mussel)
Lineage: Eukaryota; Metazoa; Mollusca; Bivalvia; Mytilida; Mytilidae
Source: RNAcentral